CUGGUUCGGAAUGAACGCUAGUGGUAUGCAUUACACAUGCGAGUUGAAUGUUGUUGAAACAUAGCGUACGGGUGAGUAAUGUAAAACAGAUUUCCUUAUGGUUAGGGAUAAUAAGAAAUUAAUUUUUUUACUAAUUAAUUAGAUUAAAAUACCUUAUAAUUUUUAAAAACAAAAUAGAAAGGUUAAAAAAAAGNUUAAGCCAAGCUUAAUUGCCAUAAGAUAUUGUUUUAUAGUAUUAGAAGUUCAAUAAAUUGUUUUUUAUUUUGUUCAAUUAAUUUGAUUCUAUAAUGCUUAGUGGGCCUUAACGGGUGUACCACCACACUGGAACUGAAACAAGGUCCAGGCUUUUUAAAAGACAGCAGUGAGGAAUAUUGGACAAUGAGCGAAAGCUUGAUCCAGCAAUACCACGUGGGUGAAGAAGGUAAUUUUAUUGUAAAGCCCUUUCAGUAAAAAAGAUAAUGACAUUAUUUACAGAAGAAGCUCCGGCCAAUUCUGUGCCAGCAGCCGCGGUAAGACAGAAGGAGCUAGUGUUAUUCUUAGUUAUUAGGUGUAAAGUGCUUGUAGACGCUUUAAAUAGUUAAACUUUAAAAACCAAGGGUUUAAUUCUGGUAGUUGGUUUAAUACAUUUUUAGUAGAGUAUAGUAGAGGGUAGUAGAAUUUUUAAUGUAAGGAUAAAAUCUUGAGAUAUUAAGAGGAAUGCCAGCUGCGAAGGCGGCUACCUGGACUAUUACUGACGUUAAAGGGCGAAAGCUAGGGUAUCAAACGGGAUUAGAGACCCCGGUAGUCCUAGCCGUAAACGAUAGAUGUUAAAUAUUAGGAAAAAUUUUUAGUAUUACAGCUAACAAGCGUUAAACAUCUCACCUGAGAAGUACGGCCGCAAGGCUAAAACUCAAAGGAUAUGACGGGAAUUUGGACCAGCGGUGGAUCAUGUGGUUUAAUUCGAUAAUACGCGCCAAACCUUACCAUCUCUUGCAAUUAAUUAACAGGUGUUGCAUGGUUGUCGUCAGCCCGUGUUUUGUGAUGUUAUGGUUUACUCCUUUCGACAACGGGCGAAACCCUCCGCUUAGUUAUAUUUUUUUAUAUUUAUAAUUNUUUGUNAUAUAAAAAAUAUUUUUUUAAGUUUUUAUGGUCAGUGAAAAUUGAAGGAAGCAGGGAUCACGUCAAAUCUUCAUGGCCCUUAUGAGAUGGGCUACACAUGUGAUACAAUGGCAUAACAAAAAGUUGCAAAUUGGUGACAAUUAGCUAAUCUUUAAACAUUGCCUUAGUUCGGAUAAUAAACUGAAAGUCGUUUAUUUGAAGUAGGAAUCGCUAGUAAUCGUAGAUCAGCACGCUACGGUGAAAUUUAAAACAAAUUUUGUACAAACCGCCCGUCAAACUCGGAAAGUUUGUUCUAUUUGAAGCUUUACCAUUUUAUUUUAUUUAGAAAUUUAUAUUAUAAUUUGUAUUGUGAUAAUAGGGUAAGUAAU
Molecule: ribosomal RNA, 1466 nt
Filed under: metagenome
Description: bacterial SSU rRNA
Rfam family: Bacterial small subunit ribosomal RNA
Source: RNAcentral